This 121-nucleotide ribosomal RNA is filed under the name Oryza rufipogon (brownbeard rice). Lineage: Eukaryota; Viridiplantae; Streptophyta; Magnoliopsida; Poales; Poaceae. The record is from RNAcentral.
GGAUGCGAUCAUACCAGCACUAAAGCACCGGAUCCCAUCAGAACUCCGAAGUUAAGCGUUCUUAGGUGAGUGUAGUACUAGGAUGGGUGACCUCCUAGGAAGCCCUUCUGACUCGCGCCGC